GACGUAGGGCGCGAGCGUUGUCCGGAAUCAUUGGGCGUAAAGAGCUCGUAGGCGGUUUGUCACGUCUGCUGUGAAAACUCGGGGCUUAACCCCGAGCUUGCAGUGGAUACGGGCAGACUAGAGGUAGGUAGGGGAGAAUGGAAUUCCCGGUGUAGCGGUGAAAUGCGCAGAUAUCAGGAGGAACACCAAUAGCGAAGGCAGCUCGCUGGGACGGUACUGACGCUAAGGCGCGAAAGCGUGGGGAGCGAACAGG
RNAcentral lists this ribosomal RNA (253 nucleotides) under uncultured bacterium. RNAcentral describes it as "partial 16S ribosomal RNA". It matches the Rfam family "Bacterial small subunit ribosomal RNA", at positions 524 to 776 of the family's 1533-position model. The record is from RNAcentral.